Long non-coding RNA from Mauremys reevesii (Reeves's turtle), 232 nucleotides. RefSeq lists it as uncharacterized. The record is from RefSeq and is a predicted model, not a curated record. NCBI's taxonomy places the organism in Eukaryota, Metazoa, Chordata, Testudines, Geoemydidae. The transcript has 3 exons.
UAGUGAUUUUACUAGAAAACAGACGUCCCUGUUUAGAAGCCAGCCGAUCGCCCAGUGCCAUCACCCUGCCUGCUGGCUGGGCAGGGUAACUCCUCAGGUCACCACCCCCGUCUCCAGCCUGCCUUGGGCUUGGGGAGUGAGGAGAAGGGCGAGGGACGACCCUGAACAUCCUCCAUCCAUCGCUCCGUCACCAGAGCAAGAUGGCUGGGCUCCUGAGGAUGUUCAGGAAGAA